GCUACCCACUUGAGUCAAUUAUUUCAAUACAACUACACAUUUUUUCUCUAUGCAUUAACAUCAACGCACAUUUUCGGGUUAUUUUUUGUUUGCGAUGAAAAAAAGUUUGUUUCAUUUCUUGAUUUAUUUGAAUGAGUGCGAAGGAGAAAACAUUAUUGUCAAUAGUGACAAUAGAAAAUCCCAAAGAGGGUAAUAAAAAAACGAUUGAAAGACGCAUGUCGUUCGUGAUCGUACCAUCGUAAAGGAGGCUCAUACAACAAGAAGCUUUGGAAAUCAGAACUGAAUUGGAAGUAGCAACAGCUAUGUACACAUAUCAUCAGAAGCAGGCAAAUAUCAAUUGUUAAAUAUUAUUAUGAUUUUUAUACUCUCGCAACAAGUUGCUAAGGAGAGUAUUAUAGUUUUGUUCACAUAACGGUUGUUUGUAAGUCCUAAAACUAAAAGAGUCAGAUAUGGGGUUAUAUAUACCAAAGUGAUCAGGGUGACGAGUAGAGUUGAAAUCCGGAUGUCUGUCUGUCCGUCCGUCUGUCCGUCCGUCCGUGCAAGCUGUAACUUGAGUAAAAAUUGAGAUAUCAUGCUGAAACUUGGUACACGUAUUUGAUGGCUCCAUAAGAAGGUUAAGUUCGAAGAUGGGCAAAAUCGGCCCACUGCCACGCCCACAAAAUGGCGGAAACCGAAAACAUAUAAACUGUCAUAACUAAGCCAUAAAUAAAGAUAUUAAAGUGAAAUUUGGCACAAAGGAUCGCAUUAAGGAGGGGCAUAUGUGGACGUAAUUUUUUUGGAAAAGUGGGUGUGGCCCCGCCCGCUACUAAGUUUUUUGUAUAUAUCUCAGAAACUACUAUAGCUAUGUCAACCAAACUCUACAGAGCCGUUUCCUUCAGGCAUUUCCAUAAACAGUUCAAAAAUGGAAGAAAUCGGAUAAUAACCACGCCCACUUCCCAUACAAAGGUUAUGUUGAAACUCACUAAAAGUGCGUUAACCGACUAACAAAAAACGUCAGAAACACUAAAUUUUACGGAAAAAAUGGCAGAAAGAAGCUGCACCCAAGCUUUUUUUAAAAAUUGAAAAUGGGUGUGGCGUCGCCCACUUAUGGACCUAAAACCAUAUCUCAGGAACUCCUCGACCGAUUUCAAUGAAAUUCGGUAUAUUAUGUUUUCUUAACACCUUGAUGACGUGUACGAAAUAGGGGUGAAAUCGGUUCACAACCACGCCUUCUUCCAAUAUAACGCUAUUUUGAGUUCCAUCUGAUGCCUUCUCUGUAUAAUAUUUCCGUAGCAUCUAUGGUUCGAAAUUGGGCGAAAUAUAUUCACAACCACGCCUACUUCCCAUAUACCACAAUUUUGAAGUCCAUCUGAUUCGUUCACGUUAAAGUAUAUAAGUUCAACACGAGUGAAGAUAACGGACCAAAACUUUUCACAAAUACUGUAUUUCUGGUGUAGCAUAGCCCGAAUAAAAAUCACCGAGAUCAGACCAUUUUAUUGAAAAUAUCGGUAAAUAUCUCAGAUAUUCUAAACAUAUUCAUAACAUGCCAAAAAUGGGCAAAAUCAAGCCAAUAUUUCUUCUUGCCCCCACAUACCUCUUAUUUGAUUUUCACAAUUCUAGUGGACUUUGUGCCGAAUAUAUUGGUCAAAUUUUGAAUUACCUUAAUAAAUUUGCAUGGAAAUAUGUUCAUACUUAAGUCAACGUGUUGGCCCCCAUAUACAUAUGUAAUAACAUGAUUUCUGCCUUUACUUUUUACUUUACGCCGAAUAUGUAUAUUGCGUACUUCCUAAGAUAUCUUUAAAAUAUUAUAAGAAUACAUAUAUGUGACCUGGAAAACGGAAAGGGGGCUUAGGUGUCAAAAAAUUAAUUUUCACUUUUUAGUUGGUUCGGAUGGAAGAUGAGAUGCUUUUUCACGUGAUAGAAUCCAAAAAGUCAUAACUUGUUUGAAAGUUAGCUCCUUUUUCGUGGACCAGGUCACAUAUUAUACAUUAAAUUUUUUAGGCACAUGUAAAAUCCAACUAUAUUUGAAAGUCAGUAAGAAAUACUAACGUAAAUUAAUAGUAGUCUAGUAUCAAAGGCACGCAAUUAGAAAACCUGCUUUUCAGAUGGACCAAAUUAGUAUUAAUUGUUUUAAUUUGGCUUAUGCGAAAAAAUCGCGAUUUACAAAGCUCCAUAGAUAGCUUAUGGACGGUUUAGGUAUUAAGACACAGAUGUGUACAUAGACCUAAUAAUUUACAAUAUUUAGCAUAUAUAUUUAAUGGGAAUUAGUAUUUAUUCUUUAAAGUUGUUUUCAAUGUAUUUGGCUGCAAAUCCCCUUACUCAAAUGUUAUUGAAUAAUUUUUAAAACAAAAAUGGCUUACCUACCUGUGUCUAUUCAUAACAACUCAAACUUUCAACCUUGAUAUAUGGUAUACUUAAAAAUUGUUUUCACAAAUUUUCUACCUACAUAGUUUAGCCUUCACGAGCGAACUUUUGCGGAAGAUGAACUCCUUUGUUUCAGAAAGCAUUAAAAAAAGCAAUUUACGUAGGAGUUUUCCGUGUAAAUACUUUCAAGGCUAUUAAGCAAAUUACUAAUUUCUAAGAGAUAUAUAUAUGUAUGUACUAUACGAGUAUAUGUAUAAUUUAUAUAUUAUUAUGCUAUAUGUUUAUACUUUCAGUUACAGUAAAUAACUUGAGUAGUGAAGUCUACAUUUUUAGCUGAAGUUUUAAUUAAUUAAGUGAAAAUUUACCAUAGUGGUGUUAGCAUCAUAAAUCAUAUCAAUAUAAUAAAAUAUAGAACGAAUCUAUAUCAUCAUCCACUUGAAAAGAAGACUGAAAGAAGACCAGCAAGUUACCCUAAAAAGAGAACACAGGAGUCAUUCGGAAGAAAAAUCAGAAAGUAUUUACACACUUGUUUUAAUAGAUUAUGAUUAAAUUAUUUAUUAUACUCUCGCAACAAUGUUGCUAAGGAGAGUAUUAUAGUUUUGUUCACAUAACGGUUGUUUGUAAGUCCUAAAACUAAAAGAGUCAGAUAUAGGGUUAUAUAUACCAAAUCGAUCAGGGUGACGAGUAGAGUCGAAAUGCGGAUGUCUGUCUGUCCGUCCGUCCGUCUGUCCGUCCGUCCGUGCAAGCUGUAACUUGAGUAAAAAUUGAGAUAUCAUGAUGAAACUUGGUACACGUAUUCCUUGGCUCCAUAAGAAGGUUAAGUUCGAAGAUGGGCAAAAUCGGCCCUCUGCCACGCCCACAAAAUGGCGGAAACCGAAAACCUAUAAAGUGUCAUAACUAAGCCAUAAAUAAAGAUAUUAAAGUGAAAUUUGACACAAGGGAUCGCAUUUGGCUAUGUCAACCAAACUCUACAGAGUCGUUUUCUUCAGGUAUUUCCAUAUACAGUUCAAAAAUGGAAGAAAUCGGAAAAUAACCACGCCCACCUCCCAUACAAAGGUUAUGUUGAAAAUCACUAAAAGUGCGUUAACGGACUAACAAAAAACGUCAGAAACACUAAAUUUUACGGAAGAAAUUGCAAAAGGAAGCUGCACCCAGGCUUUUUUAAAAAUUGAAAAAUGGGCGUGGCCUCGCCCACUUAUGGACCAAAAACCAUAUCUCAGGAACUACUAGACCGAUUUCAAUGAAAUUCGGUAUAUAAUAUUUUCUUAACACCCUGAUGACGUGUAGGAAAUAUGGGUGAAAUCGGUUCACAACCACGCCUUCUUCCAAUAUAACGCUAUUUUGAAUUCCAUCUGAUGCUUUCUCUGUAUAAUAUAUAGUACAUUAGGAACCAAUGAUGACAGCG
Molecule: long non-coding RNA, 3748 nt
Organism: Bactrocera neohumeralis
Lineage: Eukaryota; Metazoa; Arthropoda; Insecta; Diptera; Tephritidae
Exons: 3
Source: RefSeq, a predicted model, not a curated record